This 294-nucleotide ribosomal RNA is filed under the name uncultured bacterium. RNAcentral's name for it is "partial 16S ribosomal RNA". It matches the Rfam family "Bacterial small subunit ribosomal RNA", at positions 775 to 1067 of the family's 1533-position model. The record is from RNAcentral.
GGAUUAGAUACCCUGGUAGUCCACGCCGUAAACGAUGCAUACCAGGCGUAGCUGGGAUUGACUCCGGCUGUGCCGAAGCUAACGCAAGGAGUAUGCCGCCUGGGGAGUACGGUCGCAAGACUAAAACUCAAAGGAAUUGACGGGGGCCCGCACAAGCGGUGGAUUAUGUGGUUUAAUUCGAAGCAACGCGCAGAACCUUACCUGGGUUUGACAUCCUUGGACCGCUCCAGAGAUGGAGUUUUCUCUUCGGAGACCGAGUGACAGGUGCUGCAUGGCUGUCGUCAGCUCGUGCCG